GCAAUAAUUUUUUUUUCUUUUUUUGGUUGAUUUGGCUUUGAUUGGGGUUCAAACUAGAGAUCUUACAACACUGGAGCUGGAGACAAUUCCAGUACAAAUAAGCUAAAGCUCAUUGUUUAGCAGUAAAUGUAUAAGGGCGUUGUAUCUAUGUCUCAAUGGAUUGAAAUCCUAAUGCUUUGUUGUUUAGUGCCUUUUUUGAAAAAAAUUUUCCUGAUUUUGUAUGCUUCUCUAAAACAAUUAAUUCAAAACUUCAUUACAUUUGCUUUUUUAUAUAAUAACAAUGCAAUUUUUCUAGCCAAAUUAUUUAUUUGCUAGCAUAGACAGUCGUACCACUUUAGGGAGCUUGUAUUAUUUGGUUAUCAAUAAAGCAAAAUAAGCUUAU
Molecule: unclassified non-coding RNA, 382 nt
Filed under: Hevea brasiliensis (rubber tree)
Lineage: Eukaryota; Viridiplantae; Streptophyta; Magnoliopsida; Malpighiales; Euphorbiaceae
Source: RNAcentral